AACGCUAGCUACAGGCUUAACACAUGCAAGUCGAGGGGCAGCGCAGUGUAGCAAUACACGGGCGGCGACCGGCGCACGGGUGCGUAACGCGUAUCCAACCUUCCCGAUACUCAGGGAUAGCCUUCCGAAAGGGAGAUUAAUACCUGAUGGUGUUCAAAUUCCGCAUGUUAUUUGAACUAAAGAUUUAUCGGUAUCGGAUGGGGAUGCGUGACAUUAGAUAGUAGGCGGGGUAACGGCCCACCUGGUCUACGAUGUCUAGGGGUUCUGAGAGGAAGGUCCCCCACACUGGAACUGAGACACGGUCCAGACUCCUACGGGAGGCAGCAGUGAGGAAUAUUGGUCAAUGGUCGGAAGACUGAACCAGCCAAGUAGCGUGAAGGAUGAAGGUUCUAUGGAUUGUAAACUUCUUUUAUACGGGAAUAAAGCCCACUACGUGUAGUGGUUUGUAUGUACCGUAUGAAUAAGCAUCGGCUAACUCCGUGCCAGCAGCCGCGGUAAUACGGAGGAUGCGAGCGUUAUCCGGAUUUAUUGGGUUUAAAGGGAGCGUAGACGGGAUGUUAAGUCAGUUGUGAAAGGCUGCGGCUCAACCGCAGCACUGCAGUUGAUACUGGCGUCCUUGAGUGCGGUUGAGGUGUAUGGAAUUCGUGGUGUAGCGGUGAAAUGCUUAGAUAUCACGAAGAACUCCGAUUG
Molecule: ribosomal RNA, 690 nt
Filed under: uncultured bacterium
Lineage: Bacteria
Description: bacterial SSU rRNA
Rfam family: Bacterial small subunit ribosomal RNA
Source: RNAcentral